Molecule: small nucleolar RNA, 89 nt
Organism: Jaculus jaculus (lesser Egyptian jerboa)
Lineage: Eukaryota; Metazoa; Chordata; Mammalia; Rodentia; Dipodidae
Product: small nucleolar RNA SNORD116
Exons: 1
Source: RefSeq, a predicted model, not a curated record
GGAUCGAUGCUGACUCCCAUAAAAACAUUCCAUGGAAAGCUGAACAAAAUGAGAACUGAGCACCGUCGUUCUCAUCGUGACUGAGGUCC